GUCCUAGAACUGCUGAACACAAGGGAGCAUCAUCGGCUCUCAAAUAAUUGGGUUACUCAGUAUCAAGCCCUUCUCCAUGAGAAUCCCCGCUUGUGGUUUAUUUCUAUAAAAACUUUAAAUCUUGCUACCUUCUUGCCCACAGAGACAGGUCCUCCUGAUCAUGACUGCUUGAGUGUCACUGAUGAGCUCUUUUCCAGCCGCCCUGACUUGCAAAUGACACCCUUGUUCAAUGCUGACCUCGUUCUGUUCACGGAUGGGAGCAGCUUCAUGGAAGAUCUGGUUCAUCAUGCUGGAUAUGCGGACAUCAGAAAGGCAAAGACUUCAUUGCACAAGGUAAAAAUAGAGCUGAUGCUGAAAGCCGAGAAAGACAACGCACUCAAAGCCCUGCUCUCACCACUCCGGAGGCUGGUGAGUCAACGCACGGCUGAAGAAUGGAAGCACCAACAAGGACGACAUGGAUUAUUGUGCUGUGCCAGAUCACCACUGCCUUAAGUUUCUUUGUUUUCCAACUGUGGGUGUUUAGGCCUAGCUAUGAAAAGUUUGAUGAACAAUAUGUGACUUUUAAAACGGUAAAAUGGGAACCGGAAGGCUAUCCAUUUACAAUAUUCUUUGAUAAAAACAUUAUAGAGGACCUCGGGUAACUUCUGACUGUGGGGAGCUAUUCUAAUGAAAAAUUAUAUUGCAAAGAGAAAACACAAGUUUGGAUCAAUGGCUCCCUUGUUGGACGAGCCACUGGUAAUUGUAACAACUGUAAACAAGGUCAAUGUAAUCCUAUAUCUAUGUAUAUGCCAGCCCCAUGGGAUCUUAUUUGGCUACAAGGAGUAAUAUAUUUCAUUAGGACAAGAAAUUAAAAAAAAAGAUCUUGAGGAAAUUCGAGACACACUUCAGGCUUUAGAAACCCAACUAGAUUCACUGGCC
This 918-nucleotide long non-coding RNA is filed under the name Heterocephalus glaber (naked mole-rat). RNAcentral describes it as "lncRNA (ENSHGLG00000035423.1)". The record is from RNAcentral. Lineage: Eukaryota; Metazoa; Chordata; Mammalia; Rodentia; Bathyergidae.